UAUGCGUGUGCAAGAGGCUUUAUGCGUGUGCAAGAGGUGUAAUGCGGUUGCAAGAGGCGUAAUGCGUGUGCAAGAGGCGUUAUGCGUGUGCAAGAGGCGUUAUGCGUGUGCAAUAGGCAUUAUGCGUGUGCGUGGCGGCUGCAUUACCUGUUAUUUCUAUUUUCAAUACAUGUGACAAUGAGAAGCACAAGGAAUUGAACCUCUUUUCCUAUGUAUAAAUACUAGGGAUGCACCGAUACCGAUACUUCGUUAAAAUACUCGUACUCGUACUCGUUUUGAAUUGCCGAUACCAAGCACCGAUACCACUCAUCAGUAUUUCACUGCAUCAAACUGGCCGGGCUAUGCUGACACAAAAUGUGAUUUAUUGUCCUACCUGUCCUACCACUCUCUGCCAGACUACAGGUAAUGGGAAGCAGGUGUACAACAGGUGUACCCCAUGAUUGGAUGGGCUACAAAAGCCCUGAUAAGAUGGCAGUCGGGAGAGCUUUGGAUUGGUCGUUGGAUAUGGAUAGAGA
Long non-coding RNA from Clupea harengus (Atlantic herring), 515 nucleotides. NCBI's taxonomy places the organism in Eukaryota, Metazoa, Chordata, Actinopteri, Clupeiformes, Clupeidae. The record is from Ensembl.